This 210-nucleotide long non-coding RNA is filed under the name Manihot esculenta (cassava). Its description in RNAcentral is "long non-coding RNA (MESC_LNC007986)". Lineage: Eukaryota; Viridiplantae; Streptophyta; Magnoliopsida; Malpighiales; Euphorbiaceae. The record is from RNAcentral.
GACAUACUAUAGGUCCGACCAUGUGAACCUAGGGCUCUGAUACCAUUCUGUAACGACCCGAAAAUCCGGACCGCUACCGGCGCUAGGAUCCAGAUCGGCAUAAGGCCGCCGGGACCCGUAGCAAGCCUACUAUGCAUCCUGUACAGCUGGUAUAAUCCCAAACAUGAUCAAACAUAUCCAUAAAACAUUUAAAACUUUACCUUUAACCAG